GUGCAGCAGGCGCGAAACCUCCGCAAUGCGGGAAACCGCGACGGGGGACCCGAGUGCCGUGGCAACGCCACGGCUUUCCGGAGUGUAAAAGCUCCGGGAAUAAGGGCUGGGCAAGGCCGGUGGCAGCCGCCGCGGUAAUACCGGCGGCCCGAGUGGUGGCCGCUAUUAUUGGGCCUAAAAGCGUCCGUAGCCGGGCCCGUAAGUCCCUGGCGAAAUCCCACGGCUCAACCGUGGGGCUUGCUGGGGAUACUGCGGGUCUUGGGACCGGGAGAGGCGGGGGGUACCCCUGGGGUAGGGGUGAAAUCCUAUAAUCCCAGGGGGACCGCCAGUGGCGAAGGCGCCCCGCUGGAACGGGUCCGACGGUGAGGGACGAAGGCCAGGGGAGC
RNAcentral lists this ribosomal RNA (386 nucleotides) under uncultured microorganism. RNAcentral describes it as "bacterial SSU rRNA". It matches the Rfam family "Archaeal small subunit ribosomal RNA", at positions 330 to 720 of the family's 1478-position model. The record is from RNAcentral.